This is a long non-coding RNA of Gossypium arboreum, 558 nucleotides long. RefSeq lists it as uncharacterized. The transcript is spliced from 2 exons. The record is from RefSeq and is a predicted model, not a curated record. Lineage: Eukaryota; Viridiplantae; Streptophyta; Magnoliopsida; Malvales; Malvaceae.
UCUAAUCUGAAUUGGCCUAUUAACUAAAAUUUUCCUUUCAUUUUACUACAUUUUCCUAUAAAAGAAAAAAAUGAAAAAAAAAAUACAAAACUCGCUGGUCACAAAGCACAAAAUUCCCGCCAUCGAAGCAUAUAAAGCAAACAUAUUCUUCAUCCUUCUUCCUCCGAGGUACCAGCACCGGCGCCGACGAAGGCAUGAUUCUGGCCAGAUUCUUCGACGGUCUUCCCCGCCUCCGUUUCAUCUAAACAACUUUGAUUCCAUUCCCCAACCUCACCUCCCCCAUACCACCACCAUCUUCACGAACCGCAACAUCGACGAGAUUCAAAUACUCCGUUGACGGAAUCUUCCGGCAACAAAUUAAAGGCCCAGCAAUAAAUAGCCUAGGCCUACGAAAUCGAAACUGGUGGUGCUUCAAGGCUCAGAUGGCUGUCUACGGUAGCACGCCAUUCUUCAUUACCAUUAGAUUAUUCCAAAGGUGUUAUGGCGAAGUUAACGAAGCAGCGGCGAUGGAAAUUGAUGAUCCAAAUUCAAAUAUUUGUGACCAGGAUCAGCCCCAAG